UGCAGUCGAACGGAUCCAGAUCAAGCUUGCUUUGGUUUGGUGAGAGUGGCGCACGGGUGCGUAACGCGUGAGCAACCUACCCUUGUCAGGGGGAUAGCCCGGCGAAAGUCGGAUUAAUACCGCAUGACAUCAUUGAGAGGCAUCUUUCGAUGAUCAAAGAUUUAUCGGACAAGGAUGGGCUCGCGUGACAUUAGCUAGUUGGUAAGGUAACGGCUUACCAAGGCUACGAUGUCUAGGGGCUCUGAGAGGAGAAUCCCCCACACUGGUACUGAGACACGGACCAGACUCCUACGGGAGGCAGCAGUAAGGAAUAUUGGUCAAUGGGCGGAAGCCUGAACCAGCCAUGCCGCGUGCAGGAUGACUGCCCUAUGGGUUGUAAACUGCUUUUGUCCGGGAAUAAACCUCCUUACGUGUAGGGAGCUGAAUGUACCGGAAGAAUAAGGAUCGGCUAACUCCGUGCCAGCAGCCGCGGUAAUACGGAGGAUCCGAGCGUUAUCCGGAUUUAUUGGGUUUAAAGGGUGCGUAGGCGGCCCGUUAAGUCAGGGGUGAAAUACGGUGGCUCAACCAUCGCAGUGCCUUUGAUACUGACGGGCUUGAAUCCAUAUGAAGUGGGCGGAAUAAGACAAGUAGCGGUGAAUGCAUAGAUAUGUCUUAGAACUCCGAUUGCGAAGCAGCUCACUAAGCUGGUAUUGACCUGAUGCACGAAGCGU
Molecule: ribosomal RNA, 710 nt
Filed under: uncultured bacterium
Lineage: Bacteria
Description: bacterial SSU rRNA
Rfam family: Bacterial small subunit ribosomal RNA
Source: RNAcentral